Molecule: ribosomal RNA, 253 nt
Filed under: uncultured bacterium
Lineage: Bacteria
Description: partial 16S ribosomal RNA
Rfam family: Bacterial small subunit ribosomal RNA
Source: RNAcentral
UACAGAGGGGGCAAGCGUUGUUCGGAAUUACUGGGCGUAUAGGGCGCGUAGGCGGCCUGCUAAGUCGAACGUGAAAUCCCUGGGCUCAACCCAGGAACUGCGUCCGAUACUGGUUGGCUUGAAUCCGGGAGAGGGAUGCGGAAUUCCAGGUGUAGCGGUGAAAUGCGUAGAUAUCUGGAGGAACACCGGUGGCGAAGGCGGCAUCCUGGACCGGCAUUGACGCUGAGGCGCGAAAGCCAGGGGAGCAAACGGG